AUUGAACGCUGGCGGCAGGCCUAACACAUGCAAGUCGAGCGGAUGAAGGGAGCUUGCUCCUGGAUUCAGCGGCGGACGGGUGAGUAAUGCCUAGGAAUCUGCCUGGUAGUGGGGGAUAACGUCCGGAAACGGGCGCUAAUACCGCAUACGUCCUGAGGGAGAAAGUGGGGGAUCUUCGGACCUCACGCUAUCAGAUGAGCCUAGGUCGGAUUAGCUAGUUGGUGGGGUAAAGGCCUACCAAGGCGACGAUCCGUAACUGGUCUGAGAGGAUGAUCAGUCACACUGGAACUGAGACACGGUCCAGACUCCUACGGGAGGCAGCAGUGGGGAAUAUUGGACGAUGGGCGAAAGCCUGAUCCAGCCAUGCCGCGUGUGUGAAGAAGGUCUUCGGAUUGUAGAGCACUUUAAGUUGGGAGGAAGGGCAGUAAGUUAAUACCUUGCUGUUUUGACGUUACCAACAGAAUAAGCACCGGCUAACUUCGUG
This 484-nucleotide ribosomal RNA is filed under the name uncultured bacterium. RNAcentral describes it as "partial 16S ribosomal RNA". It matches the Rfam family "Bacterial small subunit ribosomal RNA", at positions 30 to 507 of the family's 1533-position model. The record is from RNAcentral.